CUCACAGCAACCCUGCAUGGAAUUAGAACACAAAGUGAAUUAUUGCCCAGGAUACCAAGGAAGAAUCCAAGACUCAGAAAAGCUGUCAUGGCACUACUAUUACUCUUGGUGCAGAGGCUGGGUGAAAUAUAAACAUGGCUCUUGCCACUCUUAUAACCAAAUCUUAUACUACAGACACACUGCCAUUAAACUGCUGGGAGCACAGCAGGCUUUGCACUUAACCUUUUCAGACUUCAAGAAUCUGCCCCAAUGUCAAAAAGCUUUGCUGGGCAGUACUAAAGAUGAAGCCACAUUGGCUUUCUCUCCAGUUACUGCCAACACACGGCCCAUGAGAAAGUUUCACACAUCCUUGCCUAGACAGACUUUGGAAGUUCACACUGUUCCAUUUGGUGAUUUCUCCUUUGUGCCCUCAUCACAGCAUUCCACCAGUCACUCACCUCCAAGGUCUCUCAGGUAUGAGUCAAAAACUGGUCCAACACAUCAUUCAAACAAAUAGGAGCAUUGCUGAAUUACCUGAAGUGAGACAACUGGGAUCUCUAUCUGAAAGAAGACAGCAGCCCAAAAAAACCCUCAAGAAGCCUUCUUUCCGAGCACUGCUGUGAGGAUUAAUGAAGCAAAGUCCCCUGCUAUGAACUUCAAUUCUAAGCGAUGGCCACAGGAAGGGCUAGAGGAAGCCUACCAGAAGUCAGAAUAAUAAAUUUUCUUUUUAUCUUUCUCA
This 718-nucleotide long non-coding RNA is filed under the name Vulpes vulpes (red fox). RNAcentral describes it as "lncRNA (ENSVVUG00000021748.1)". Lineage: Eukaryota; Metazoa; Chordata; Mammalia; Carnivora; Canidae. The record is from RNAcentral.